AGAAACUUAGGUUAAUCCAAACCAAGGACCUUCAAAGUCCUAAAUAAGAGAUAUACUCUCCUAGUCUCUG
Molecule: transfer RNA, 70 nt
Filed under: Hoplodactylus sp. North Cape
Lineage: Eukaryota; Metazoa; Chordata; Lepidosauria; Squamata; Diplodactylidae
Also listed under: 1 other name
Description: tRNA-Trp
Source: RNAcentral